GAUAGCCUACGGAGGCAGCAGUGGGGAAUAUUGCACAAUGGGGGAAACCCUGAUGCAGCGACGCCGCGUGAGUGAAGAAGUAUUUCGGUAUGUAAAGCUCUAUCAGCAGGGAAGAAAAUGACGGUACCUGACUAAGAAGCCCCGGCUAACUACGUGCCAGCAGCCGCGGUAAUACGUAGGGGGCAAGCGCUAUCCGGAUUCACUGGGUGUAAAGGGAGCGUAGACGGCCAGGCAAGCCUGGAGUGAAAGCCCGGGGCCCAACCCCGGGACUGCUCUGGGAACUGUCCGGCUGGAGUGCGGGAGGG
This 305-nucleotide ribosomal RNA is filed under the name uncultured bacterium. Its description in RNAcentral is "bacterial SSU rRNA". It matches the Rfam family "Bacterial small subunit ribosomal RNA", at positions 333 to 656 of the family's 1533-position model. The record is from RNAcentral.